ACGCUGGCGGCGUGCCUAAUACAUGCAAGUCGAACGGCUUUUCUAUGGAAGCUUGCUUCCACUGAGAAGAUAGUGGCGGACGGGUGAGUAACACGUGGGUAACCUGCCCAUAAGAGGGGGAUAACAUCCGGAAACGGGUGCUAAUACCGCAUAGUUUUCUUGAUCGCAUGAUCGGGAAAGGAAAGACGGCCUUUGUGCUGUCGCUUAUGGAUGGACCCGCGGCGUAUUAGUUAGUUGGUGAGGUAAUGGCUCACCAAGACGAUGAUACGUAGCCGACCUGAGAGGGUGAUCGGCCACAUUGGGACUGAGACACGGCCCAAACUCCUACGGGAGGCAGCAGUAGGGAAUCUUCCGCAAUGGACGAAAGUCUGACGGAGCAACGCCGCGUGAGUGAAGAAGGUUUUUCCGGAUCGUAAAACUCUGUUGUCAGAGAAGAACAAGUUGGAGAGUAACUGCUCCAGCCUUGACGGUAUCUGACCAGAAAGCCACGGCUAACUACGUGCCAGCCGCUGC
This 513-nucleotide ribosomal RNA is filed under the name uncultured bacterium. Its description in RNAcentral is "bacterial SSU rRNA". It matches the Rfam family "Bacterial small subunit ribosomal RNA", at positions 33 to 518 of the family's 1533-position model. The record is from RNAcentral.